CUCCAGCAGACCCUCCCUCCCAGACCCUCCUACUUCCUGGACAGCAUCCAAUGUUGAAACAUGGAUGCUGUCCAGGAAGUAGGAGGGUCUGGGAGGGAGGGUCUGCUGGAG
Pelobates cultripes (western spadefoot toad) is the source of this 111-nucleotide non-coding RNA. Lineage: Eukaryota; Metazoa; Chordata; Amphibia; Anura; Pelobatidae. The record is from the annotation of a GenBank genome assembly.